RNAcentral lists this ribosomal RNA (168 nucleotides) under Praealticus tanegasimae. RNAcentral's name for it is "partial 12S rRNA". Lineage: Eukaryota; Metazoa; Chordata; Actinopteri; Blenniiformes; Blenniidae. The record is from RNAcentral.
CACCGCGGUUAUACGAGAGGCCCAAGCUGACAGACCCUCGGCGUAAAGCGUGGUUAGAAUAGACACAUACUAAAGUCGAAUAUUUUCAUAACUGUUAUACGUACACGAAAAUUAGAAGCCCCACUACGAAAGUGACUUUAUUUUAUUGAACCCACGAAAGCUAAGACA